UCAAACAUGUGACAACAUUAAGCACCCUGGUAGAGGCAAGAUUUGCCAGGUGGCUCUCACAUACCCCUGCCUCCCACAAUACUACCCCCGCCUCCCAUGAUAUGAUGAGGUGACAAGGCACUUUACCUCUGCAUUAUACUCCGCAAAACCCGUAAUCCCAGACAAUCAUGAGAAAACAUCAGACAAACCCAGAUAGGCAGACAUUCUACAAAACACCAACGAGUCCUUCCCAACAUUGUCCAUGGCAUGAAAAACAAGGAAAAUCUAAGAAAUGGUCACAGACCAGAGAAGACUACAAGAGGCAUGAUGAUGGAAUGCAAGGGUCUCACUCUGCUGUCCAAGCUGGAGUGCCGUGGUUAAUCAUGACUCACUGCAGCCUUGGCCUCCCGGGCUCAAGCGAUCCUCCUGCCUCAGCCUCCAGAGUCUCUGGGACUACAGGAGUCUCACUCUUUCACUGAGGCUGGCAUGCAAUGGCACAACCUCAGCUCACUGCAACCUCUGCCUUCUGGGUUCAAGCGAUUCUCCUGCCUCAGCCUCCCAAGUAGCUGGGAUUACAGGAGAAAAGGCUGCAGAACCACACAAGGCUCACGCUGCCCGGGGAGAACAUCAUCUCAGUUCCCAUAUGAGUCCCAGCGAAAAUAUGACAGAGAAAUUCUGUCCUGGACCACGAGCAUCUUUUCAUCUUCGUAUCCUAGCAGCCAGCAGGCACGUGGUGAAGAGGCUGCUCAACAAAUAUACAGUGACGGUUUCACAGGACAAGAGUUAUCUGAGAAAGAACUAAAUCUGCCCCAUCAAGCAAUUCUUGAUAGAGUGUUGUCACCACACAGAAUCCUCAGUUUGAAACUAACACAAAUUGAAAUGUGUAAAACUGAAUCUGUUUCUUUGGGGAACACAAACCAGUAGAGCUUCUAUGUGAUAAAGGAAGACACUGCGGUUUGAUCAAGUUUGCCAAGGGGAAGAUGUCCCUGGGACACUGAGCUACUUUUUUACACAUACAGGCAUGGUGGCUCAUGCUUGUAAUCCCAGCACUUUGUGAAGCCAAGACAGGCGGAUCACCUAAGGUCAGGAGUUUGAGGCCAGCCUGACCAACAUGGCGAAUCAGUUGAACCCAGGAGAAGGAGGCUGCAGUGAGCCGAGAACAUUCCGAGAUCGCGCCACUGCACUCCAGCCUGGGGAACAAGAGCAAAACUCUGUCUCAAAAAAAAAAAAAAAGAAAACCCGCAACUCUAGGUGGAUUGGCACUGACUACUGAGCACACCAUACAUGUGCAAAGGAAGAAAAUGGGCUGUGAUGAAGUGAGGCGAGCUGGGGCCUCAAUUGGCUGCAUCUGGAAUUUCAACAGCAAGACAAGAAUGGACUAGACAGACCAGUGUUCUCACCCACUGUUUCCAUGAUCACUCCCACAACAGAAAAAUAAAAUCAACAAGAAAAAUUACUCAAGAAUAAGGCUGGGCAUGGUGGCUCACGCCUGUAAUCCUGGCAUUCUGGGAGGCCCAGGCAGGAGGAUCACUUGAGGCCAGGGGUUUCAGACCAGCCCGGGCAACAAAGCAAAUCCCUGUCUCUACAAAAAAAUAAAUUUAAGUUAGCCAAGCGUGGUGGAGUGCAUCUAUAGUCUAAGAUACUUGGGAGGUCAACACAGGAGGAUCACCUGAGGCCAGGAGUUCAAGACCAGCCGGGGCAACUCCAUCUCUACAAAAAAAAUUUAAAAAUCAGCUGUGCAUGGUAGCAGCACAUAUAGUCUCAGCUACCUGGGAAGCUGAGGCAGAAGGAUCUCUUGAACUCAGGAAUUCAAGACUACAGUAAGCUAUGAUGACACCGCUGCACUCCAAACUAGAUGACGGAGCAAGACCCUUUCUCUAAAAAUAAAAUAAGACUAAACAAAUCAAAAGAAUAAAAUACACAGGGUUAUGAGUUAAACCCACAGAGUUAAGUAAGCUUGGGAGGACCACAAACCACUGCCGGAUCUAAGAAUGCUUCUCUCUGUGACCCCCAAGAACUUUUGGCUGCCUAUCCCCCACCCUUGGGAGUGGUACCAUCUCCACUGAGAAUGCAUGGAUUAGCUAUUAGUCACUGUACGCAUCAGUGCCAUUUAAACACAACGCCCCUCAGGCAAUACCUUCUAACGUCGAGCUGGAUGCUGGACUACCAGCAGGCACACAUGUGUAAAGUGGCCCGGAGCCACCAUAGGGCUUCUGAACAGUCAGCACAUUUGGAGAAUCGACCUCACUGGAGCUCAGGAACCUUGGUUUGGGA
This 2253-nucleotide non-coding RNA is filed under the name Pongo abelii (Sumatran orangutan). Lineage: Eukaryota; Metazoa; Chordata; Mammalia; Primates; Hominidae. The record is from RNAcentral.